Long non-coding RNA from Alligator mississippiensis (American alligator), 443 nucleotides. RefSeq lists it as uncharacterized. The transcript is spliced from 4 exons. Lineage: Eukaryota; Metazoa; Chordata; Crocodylia; Alligatoridae. The record is from RefSeq and is a predicted model, not a curated record.
UUCCUGCUUUCUGCUGCUACUAAAUGCUCAGCCAGUGCAUCACUCAUGGCUGAACUACAACUGGUGUUAUUGCCCUUUAGCAAACCCAUGGCACCUGGGAGAAACCUUAUAGCUAAAGCAGUGAACAGCUGGGAUUGGUCUACAGUUCCAGUGGCUAUCAGCAGAGCCCACCAGCUCUGCAAAGGUUCCUGAAAUGCACCUGAGGAGCCAGGGUCAGCCCUCCACUAAAGGGGUUACACAUCAGAUGACCUCUCCUGGCUUUUUGCAUCUUGAUUUUGGACUUGCAGGAGUGGAAGUGCCAUUACUUCCUGUUAAGUGAAAGAAUAAAGAAGAGGUUGCCUGGUGCCAUUCAGGCCUUUUUGUGUUCAGAGUGAAAAAAUAAAACCCUGAUAUAUCAGAAUCUCAUUCAUCACCAGGAUCUGAAGUACUCGAAGACAAUAUUA